This is a non-coding RNA of Cinara cedri, 456 nucleotides long. Lineage: Eukaryota; Metazoa; Arthropoda; Insecta; Hemiptera; Aphididae. The record is from the annotation of a GenBank genome assembly.
AAAAGAAUCAUUACUAUACAUACCAAAACAAUAUUCACAGAUUCAACCGGUAAUGUUAGGUGUAUUAUGUGUCCACUAAUCUUGGGUCUAAAUAAUGAUUGUAAGUUUUAAAACAAAGCCAUUCAUACUUUACUUAGCCCCGAUAAAUAGAUACUAAUACAACAACUCUACAAAAAAGCAUAAUGUAACACAGCAACGAAAAUUUAGACUGGAGAAACAAUAAAAAGCUGAAAACUUAAUUAUUUGUUCUACAAAAUAUUUUAUUGAAAAAUAUGAUGUCUUCUAAUCAACGUGUUUCCCUACACGAAAUUCUAGCAGCAUCUCAAGUUUGUAAUCUAACAGGUUGCAGAUUGAAGUUGAAUUCUGUUAUUGUUCAAUAUCCGUUCACCAUGUGGUUAUAAUUUCAAGAGGAAUAAUGAUAUUUUGCCUCUUCCUUCUGUUAGAACAAUUAAAAGG